GUCUGUGUAUUGCCCUGUGCUUUGUAGCAUUUUACAAAGUCCCUCAGCGCGUGCACUGACUAGGUCACGGACUGGUCUUCCUCCCUGACGAGACCUGCACCAUUCCCGCCCUCCCUCCCUGGCGAGUCCUGCACCAGAGCCGCCGCGGAUGAUAAGGUUCUGAUCUUCUGUGUGGUGGCUGUGGCCGCGGCCGACAAGUCAGCGAGAAUUGCCAACCAUCAGUAUGGCAUCGAGGAGGACGGCUCAUACCAGUCCAACUACGAGACAACCAAUGGCAUCAGGGC
Molecule: unclassified non-coding RNA, 284 nt
Filed under: Amphibalanus amphitrite
Lineage: Eukaryota; Metazoa; Arthropoda; Thecostraca; Balanomorpha; Balanidae
Description: cuticle protein CP14.6-like, transcript variant X1
Source: RNAcentral